CUGCCUCUAAUCCUUCUCCCCAGUCUCACUGCAGUUCUUCCUGAUGGCUAUGAAUAGUUCUUCUGAAUGUCUGGGACCAGUCAACAGAUUCUUCUGGGGUCUCCUUGUUUGGAUUAUUUUAACCCAUCAGAAAAUUGAACGGGAUCCUGCAACCCUAUUGAAGAUAGCUGGCCUGCCAUGGAAGGGAAAACUCUGGGAUUUGUUUUAGUUUGCUGCCAAAGGUGAACCACCUCAGAUAGAGAAUGAGUGAUGGUUGGGUUUCCAAAAACAGUAAUGGUUUCUAAAGCUUGUCCUAGUGUAAGCCAACUGCAGUGCAUCCCUUUUCUUAGCUUACGAUACAUCACUUUGUCACUGUGAACAGUGCUGAUAUGCUUUUCGGCAGUGGAACAAAACUUACAGUAAUGGGGAAGAAUGAUGAAAUCAUACCUCCAGCUGUGGCCAUCUUUUCCCCAUCAAAGCAGGAGAUCCAGCAGAAGAGCAAGGCCACACUGGUGUGCCUGGCCUCUGGUUUCUACCCUGACCACCUGACUCUGGUCUGGAAGGUGAAUGGUGUGAAAAGGACAGAAGGGGUGGGGACAGACGAGUCCUCCACAAAGAAUGGGAGCACCUACUCACUGACCAGCCGACUGAGGAUGCCAGCCUGGGAAUGGUUCAACCCUUUGAAUCGCUUCGAGUGUGUUGCCAGUUUUUUUCAGAAUGGAACAACGCAAUCAAUAAACAAAUUUAUCCAUGGUGAUGCUGGUUGUGCGCUCACAGAAGAGUCGUACUUGCGAUAUGGAAAUUCUCUGAAGCUCACUUACCUCAUCCUGUGUGGCAAAGCCUUGGUCUACGCUGUUUUGGUCAGUGGUCUGGUGUGGACAGCCAAGACUGGUGUCAAAUUAUCUAGAGAAUAAAUGAAGAGCCCUUGUCAUCACAUCAGCAGGAGCACAACAAGUUGUCUACCUUUCCCUAGCAAAGUAUCUGUGCUUUUACGAACUUGUGAAGAUUAUUUUUUUAUAAUUCUCUGUUGCCAUGCUGUUCUUCACUUUGUUGUAAUCAUUGCUGAGUUUCUCCUGUACUUCCAUAU
Catharus ustulatus (Swainson's thrush) is the source of this 1066-nucleotide non-coding RNA. Lineage: Eukaryota; Metazoa; Chordata; Aves; Passeriformes; Turdidae. The record is from the annotation of a RefSeq genome assembly.